GUCACGUUCAACCCAGCUAAAUUGUAGGCCCCUAAUAAUUGAUUAAUUGAUAAGUUAUCCAUUAAAUAAACUUUGUUUUCUAAUAUAAAGCCGCCACCACAAAAUGGCCAAUAAAAAAUACACUGGCGCAAGAACCUGUCCAAAAUUUCAAGGUGUCUGCACAUACAAGUCUAUAAUGCUCUGCUUGACUUCCUGCCAAAAAUGAAAGAAUAUUUUAACCUUUACCAAGAAUGAAGAGCCAAUCAUACAUUAGAGACUCAUUCAACAGCCAUCUGUUGAUUUUAUGUCAAAUAGAAAUAAAUUAAUCCACGGACACAACAACUGCAAAUUCAAAAGCAACUUGACCAACCUUUUUAUCAAUCAAUUAAAGGGAGAGAGUAGAAGUAGAAGAGAACAUAGAGAUGGGUAAGAUCGGUUGCAGCGUUGAUGGAAACCUGAAUGAAUCAAAGUUCAGUGAGCCCCUUCCAUGGAUUGGCAUCUAUAUAGCAGUAGCAUCUCUCGCCUGUGCAAUUGUGAUGGCUGCAGAUCUCAUCCAUGGCUUCCGCUACCGAAAGUUGUGGUUUCCCAGCAAGUACUACUCCCUUAAUGCAACUUCAUUGACCAUAAUAACUGUGGCAAUCAAAUUUGCAGUGGAUCUAAACACCCCUAUGCCUCGCCGUAUUGAUCAGCUUGCAAAACUUAGCAGCAGUACCUUGAUCUGUACACUGAUGGGUAAUUCUAUGCCUUCUCUUGGAACCAUGGAAAACGAAGAAAUCUGGAUGAAUAUUAUAGCUCUUGGAAUACUUGUUAUUACUGUUAUUGCUAAUAUCUGCAUCCAAUUAGGCACUGGUGUGAUCUAUCUUUACUGGAAAGAGCAUGCAUUAAUCAUGUUUCUCAUGCUUGUUUUGCUUGUAAUCUUAAGCUUUUCUGCUUUAACAGUGCCAACUACAAAGAAAUAUUUAGAAUUUAAGUACAAGAAAAAAUAUGAAAUGGCUGUGGAAGAAUGCUCAAAUGGAUGUGACAGGGCAGUGGAAAAGAAACUGAGAGAAGAUCUAAUGAAAUACUGGAUGAUGGCUCAUACCUGCAGCCCCCAGUUUGUUAUAGGGCGUUCAGUUACAUGCACUGCUGCAGGUGCACUGUGUCUCCUGAGUGCCCUGACUUUAGCAGAGGCCAUGCUGAGAUCUUACUUGAUGAGGGGGUCAUUUAAAUUUUGCAAUGGGGAGUCUGACUAUAAAUGGUCGACCAUCUUGGUUCUUAUUUUACAGACCAUUGCAAUAGGAGUUGGUACAAUUGCUCCUGCUAUUAGAUGGUUCACUGCUGUAAAUUUCAGGUGCCCAACAAUAGGGAAGAAAAGCGGCAGGAAAGAAUUCAAAGUAGAAAAGUAUUGGACCCAGUUUUUAGUAGAGAUGAAAGAGUGCCCGUUUACCAUUCGAAUCCAGAACAGGCAGUGUAGGAAACUUGCACAUGGCGCAAAAGAUCAAAUUGUGGACCUGUGUAUUGGAAUGCAAAUUGGAAUCGUGUUGGCAAGCAAAGUUAUCAGAUUCAUUUCUGUGUACUUCAUGAGCAGGAUUUUGUUAUUCUGUCGUUGCUGCAAAAAGUUGAUGAACUGCAAUCCCAACAGAUCAAUUGACUCAGCAUCAGACUCACAGCCCAGCUCAAAACCGGAUCUUAGCCGAUUCGUUUUGCAUCUCGAAGGUGAGAAUGAACUAGUUGAACUGAUGAUGAAGAACAACUGUGAUGCUACUGAGCACUGGAUACAGCAUGGAAAAAAGAAACAGCCCAAACAUCUCAUUGAAUUGUUGGAAAAAUCAUCAUCAGCACUCCAUGGAGUGAGAGAAUUUGACAGUGACCUAGUUCUCUCUCUAGCUAAUGAAGAACCUCCACACUGUUGGGCUCUUCCUGUAGUGACUCUAACAGCCAUUGCAGUUGCAGUUCCAAACACCAGCAGUUGUUUACGUAAGCAGUUGAUGCGUAGUGUACAUGAAGGCCUCAUGUAUGUCAAACUCAUAGAAGACAACCUGCAUGCAGAAAGUGAUAUGGCUAACAUCAUGAAGGCAGCAUAUACUGUCUGGCUAGGAGUUGAUCUCUAUCAUAAAUGGCUAGAUGUGGAUCUUAAUAAAAUGUCCUUCCAAGCAGAGAGCACAAAGGAAGCACUUGAAGGACUUGCUGAUGCUGCAAAGUAUAGGUAUGUGGAAUUCAAAAAGACAUAUGUGAAUCAAUGCCUACUAAAAGAAAGCCCUUCAAAGUGGCCCAUCAAGGUAUUGGCUGCUAAUUCCAUGUAUAGAAUAAGCCAAACUAUUCUGCAGAAUUAUGAAAGAACCAACAUCCAGAGCAGUGAGAGAUUAUUUGAGGCACUAACUAUCAUGAUCUCAGAUAUAUUAGCUGCUUGUCUCACCAAUUUACAACGUAUCAUAUCCCUCAAGUGUUUCAGCAGCUCAGUCGAAGUACGGGAAGAAAGUGUUCGUCAUGCAGUUUUCCUUCUCGGUAAAACAGAAAAGAUCCUAAAACUUGUAAACCAGAAAGCACUUCCCAGUUUCGAUCCUGAUGGAAUGGCAUGCAUUAAUGAGUGGCGUGCAUUUCAGAAAACAAAGAAUCAGUUGCCAUUCUCUCCAUCUUCAACAGAAAAUGAAACAGCUUCUUCUGAUUUGCGGGACCUGCACUUAAACAUUGAGUAAAAAAUAUAAAACUGGAGUUAGCAAUAAAAGCAGUUUGUUAUAUGCUGAUCUUCCAGCUUUUGUUUUCUGUAAUCUGUAUACAUUUUAAGUAAAUAAUUGUAAUUAAUGUCAACAUGUAAUAUAGAUAUCUAAUCUGGAAGUGGGAACUACAUUUUGAGACAUGACAUCUCUUAUUCAGUUGCUGCAGAUUUUCAACUCUACCUACAACUUACAACAUAUUCAGCUAUCAUGUUAUAGAAUUCCAAAGCAAGAGUUGUGCAGAAAAACCCAUAUAAUACGAGGCCACAGAAAAACUCAGCACAUCCACCAGGGUUCACUGAAAGAAAAACAAAACAAGCAAAUAAAUGUCGAUCCGAUCAUGAUUCCAGGUGUUAAGUUCCUUUUGUCAAAAUGAUAAUACAAGUAAAUAAAUCUGCAUUAAACAAACUUGCAAACUAUAACUAAAGCCAAGUACCAAUAGAAUCUUUGGUUAAUACGCACACCAGAAGUGGACAUGGAUAAGCAGAAUGAGUAAAAUGGCUACAUAGAAUUCCACAGGGCACAGAGAACCAAGUUCAAGAUCUCAGACGAGACCUUCAAAUGAAGCCAAAUCCAAUCGAAUUUGAUCCAUAAAAACUGUGAAAAAGAUAUUAUUGCAAAUUUAAUUACUUAGCAACAACCUUUUGUGUUGAAUCUUUUGAUAAAAACAUAAUCUUGCAACUUGUUACUGUUUAUAACAUGAAGCAUAGAAGCCUUUGAAAAUUCUACGUUGUCAGUUAAAACACAAAACUCGUAAUGUUGGUGUUAUGCUGGCAAUUCAAGGUGUUUCAAGUUUAGAAGAAGCAAUUAAG
Molecule: unclassified non-coding RNA, 3484 nt
Filed under: Hevea brasiliensis (rubber tree)
Lineage: Eukaryota; Viridiplantae; Streptophyta; Magnoliopsida; Malpighiales; Euphorbiaceae
Source: RNAcentral